AUUGGGAAUGGAGGGAAAUAAAUGACUGGAUGGUCGCUGCUUUUUAAGUUUCAAAUUGACAUUCCAGACAAGCGGUGCCUGAGCCCGUGCCUGUCUUCAGAUCUUCACAGCACAGUUCCUGGGAAGGUGGAGCCACCAGCCUCUCCCUGACAAGCAAAGUGGAUCAGCAAAGGCUGCAGUCACCAGCAUCUUUUCCAACCUUAAUGAACUGUAUCCUCAAAAGAACACUAUCAGACUGGCUCUGCCGACUUCCAGUUCUGGAACAAGAUGGUUAAACUCAUUUUUCCCUGCUCUGCUCCUCUAAAUACAACUAAGUACCUUGGAAACUAUUCAGCAGACAAUGAUAAAGGGCUCUGAAAGCUAGAAGAAAAGGUGUACUUGCAAGAAACCUCAGGACUUGAGUAACAGCAACAUGUCUAGAUGCAUGUGAGGAGCAAGUUCAAGUCAGACUCAAUGUCAUUUCACCAUGAUUGGGGCAGAGUGGCACCGGGCCUGGUGGGAUCAGAAGGCAGGACACGGCGGACAGCUGGAUUGCCCCUUUCUAAAUCCAGCUUUCUUCAUCCAGGAAGCCUUCUCUGACCCUCCCACCCAUAGGGCCCUCUCCUACCCUGAACUCCUCCAGAAUUCUGUCUGCUGAAAGAAGGCAUGUGGAGUGUGAGAAGACAGCAGGGCUCUGAAGUCAGACCGAUGUGGUUUAAAUAUUGGUUUCUUGUGUUCAAUCAUCUGACCAUUAAUUCAACAUCUGUAGCAUGCCAGGCACUGUUCUACAUCCUGGAAAUGUGUUCAUGUUCAAGAGCUGGGUGUUCUUGGAUCCUGUAUGCAAAUGAGGGAGAGAGAGACAGUCAAUAACAACAAUAACAAAGCCAAACAUGCAAAAAGAAAAAAAGUUGUGAUGUUGGAAAUUAAGAAAAUAACCAAGGGGCUGAGAUAAAGAAUACCAAAAGGACCUACUUUAGAUGAGGUUAAUGAAUGACUUCCUCUUUGAAUGGGCAGCAUUUAAAAUUGCAAUGUACAAGGAGGAAGAAUAGUUACUAUAUAAAUAAAACAGAGGAGCAUUCUUGGCAAGAGAAAAACGACAGGUACAAGACCGUUAAGUGGGAAAGGUAGGAAAGGGCUUGGGUGGGGCAAGGUUGGAACU
This 1138-nucleotide long non-coding RNA is filed under the name Homo sapiens (human). RNAcentral's name for it is "HSALNT0305022". The record is from RNAcentral. Lineage: Eukaryota; Metazoa; Chordata; Mammalia; Primates; Hominidae.